UGGGGAAUAUUGCACAAUGGGCGCAAGCCUGAUGCAGCCAUGCCGCGUGUAUGAAGAAGGCCUUCGGGUUGUAAAGUACUUUCAGCGGGGAGGAAGGGAGUAAAGUUAAUACUUUUCCCCAUUGCCGUUACCCGCAGAAGAAGCACCGGUUAACCCCGUGCCAGCAGCCGCGGUAAUACGGAGGGUGCAAGCGUUAAUCGGAAUUACUGGGCGUAAAGCGCACGCAGGCGGUUUGUUAAGUCAGAUGUGAAAUACCCGGGCUCAACCUGGGAACUGCAUCUGAUACUGGCAAGCUUGAGUAUCGUAGAGGGGGGUAGAAUUCCAGGUGUAGCGGUGAAAUGCGUAGAGAUCUGGAGGAAUACCGGUGGCGAAGGCGGCCCCCUGGACGAAGACUGACGCUCAGGUGCGAAAGCGUGGGGAGCAAACAGG
This 429-nucleotide ribosomal RNA is filed under the name Fusobacteriota bacterium. RNAcentral describes it as "Fusobacteria bacterium partial 16S ribosomal RNA". It matches the Rfam family "Bacterial small subunit ribosomal RNA", at positions 355 to 776 of the family's 1533-position model. The record is from RNAcentral. Lineage: Bacteria; Fusobacteriati; Fusobacteriota.